CCAGCACUAAAGCACCGGAUCCCAUCAGAACUCCGCAGUUAAGCGUGCUUGGGCGAGAGUAGUACUAGGAUGGGUGACCCCCUGGGAAGUCCUCGUGUUGCAUCCC
RNAcentral lists this ribosomal RNA (106 nucleotides) under Macrophomina phaseolina MS6. Lineage: Eukaryota; Fungi; Ascomycota; Dothideomycetes; Botryosphaeriales; Botryosphaeriaceae. The record is from RNAcentral.